GCUACGGGGACGGACAUGGGGCGGCUCCAGGUGUUCGCGUUCAGUUUCUUAGCCCUGUGCGGAGCCCGAGUGAGCGCCCAAGAACCCGAGUUCAGCUACGGUUGCGCGGAGGGCAGCUGCUAUCCGGCCACAGGCGACCUUCUCAUCGGCCGAGCACAGAAGCUCUCAGUGACCUCGACAUGCGGGCUGCACAAGCCGGAGCCCUACUGUAUCGUCAGCCACCUCCAGGAGGACAAAAAAUGCUUCAUAUGCAAUUCACAAGACCCUUACCAUGAAACCCUCAAUCCUGACAGCCAUCUCAUUGAAAAUGUGGUCACAACAUUUGCUCCAAACCGCCUUAAGAUUUGGUGGCAAUCGGAAAACGGCGUGGAAAAUGUAACAAUCCAACUGGAUUUGGAAGCCGAAUUCCAUUUCACUCAUCUCAUCAUGACCUUCAAGACAUUCCGUCCAGCCGCCAUGCUGAUAGAACGAUCGUCCGACUUUGGCAAAACCUGGGGUGUGUACAGAUACUUUGCCUACGACUGUGAGAGCUCGUUCCCCGGCAUUUCCACCGGCCCUAUGAAGAAAGUCGACGAUAUCAUUUGUGAUUCCCGAUAUUCUGACAUCGAACCCUCAACGGAAGGAGAGGUGAUAUUUCGUGCUUUAGAUCCUGCUUUCAGAAUAGAAGAUCCUUACAGUCCGAGGAUACAGAAUCUCUUAAAAAUCACCAACUUGAGAAUCAAGUUUGUGAAACUGCAUACUUUGGGAGAUAACCUUUUGGAUUCCAGAAUGGAAAUCAGAGAAAAGUACUAUUACGCGGUUUACGAUAUGGUGGUUCGAGGGAAUUGCUUCUGCUACGGCCACGCCAGCGAGUGUGCCCCCGUGGACGGCUUCAGUGAAGAUGUGGAAGGAAUGGUUCAUGGACACUGCAUGUGCAGGCAUAAUACCAAGGGCUUAAACUGUGAGCUGUGCAUGGAUUUCUACCACGAUUUACCUUGGAGACCCGCUGAAGGUCGGAACAGCAAUGCCUGUAAAAAGUGUAACUGCAACGAGCAUUCCAGCUCAUGCCACUUUGACAUGGCAGUGUACUUGGCCACCGGAAACGUCAGCGGAGGGGUGUGUGAUGACUGUCAGCACAACACCAUGGGGCGCAACUGUGAGCAGUGCAAACCGUUUUACUACCAGCAUCCGGAGAGAGACAUCCGUGACCCUAAUUUCUGCGAACAAUGCACCUGUGACCCAGCUGGUUCUCAGAAUGGGGGAAUCUGUGACAGUUACACGGAUUUUUCUGCCGGUCUCAUUGCUGGUCAGUGUCGGUGUAAAUUACACGUGGAAGGAGAACAUUGUGACUUUUGCAAAGAAGGCUUCUAUGGUUUAAGUGCUGAAGAUCCAUUUGGUUGUAAAUCUUGUGCUUGCAAUCCUCUGGGAACGAUUCCUGGUGGGAGUCCUUGUGAUUCUGAGACGGGUUACUGCUACUGUAAGCGUCUGGUGACAGGACAGCAUUGUGACCAGUGUCUGCCAGAGCACUGGGGCUUAAGCAACGAUUUGGAUGGAUGUCGACCUUGUGACUGUGACCUUGGGGGAGCCUUAAACAAUAGUUGCUCUGCGGAGUCGGGCCAGUGCGUGUGCCGACCCCACAUGAUCGGACGUCAGUGUGACGAAGUGGAAUCCGGUUACUACUUCACCACCUUGGAUCACUACAUCUAUGAAGCAGAGGAAGCCAACUUUGGGCCUGGGGUCAGCAUAGUGGAGCGGCAGUAUGUCCAGGACCGGAUUCCUUCCUGGACCGGAGCGGGCUUCGUCCGGGUGCCCGAAGGGGCUUACUUGGAGUUCUUCAUUGACAACAUACCGUAUUCCAUGGAGUACGAGAUCCUAAUUCGCUAUGAGCCACAGCUCCCCGACCACUGGGAGAAGGCUGUCAUCAUGGUGCAGCGACCUGGGAAGAUUCCAACCAGCAGCCGAUGUGGAAACACUGUUCCCGAUGAUGACAACCAGAUGGUGUCCCUGUCGCCUGGCUCCAGGUAUGUGGUCCUCCCACGCCCCGUGUGCUUUGAGAAGGGCGUGAACUACACGGUGCGGUUAGAGCUGCCCCAGUACACGUCCUCCGACAGCAGUGUGGACAGCCCCUACACGCUGAUCGACUCCCUUGUUCUCAUGCCGUUCUGUAAGUCCCUGGACAUCUUCACCGUGGGAGGCUCGGGAGACGGGGUGGUCACCAACAGUGCCUGGGAAACCUUUCAGAGAUACCGAUGCCUGGAGAACAGCAGGAGCGUCGUGAAGACGCCCAUGACCGACGUUUGCAGAAACAUCAUCUUCAGCAUCUCCGCCCUGUUGCACCAGACGGGCCUGGCUUGUGAAUGCGACCCUCAGGGCUCAUUAAGUUCCGUCUGCAACCCCAACGGAGGCCAGUGCCAGUGCCGGCCGAACGUGGUUGGAAGAACGUGUGACAGAUGUGCUCCGGGCACCUUUGGUUUUGGCCCCAGUGGAUGCAAACCUUGCGAGUGCCACCUGCAAGGAUCCGUCAAUGCUUUCUGCGAUCCCAUCACCGGCCAGUGCCACUGUUUCCAGGGGGUGUACGCGCGGCAGUGUGACCGGUGCUUCCCCGGGUACUGGGGCUUUCCGAGUUGCCAGCCCUGCCAGUGCAACGGCCAUGCCGAUGACUGCGACUCGGUGACAGGGGAGUGCUUGAGCUGCCAGGACUACACCACGGGUCACAACUGUGAAAGGUGCUUGGCUGGUUACUAUGGAGACCCCAUCAUCGGGUCCGGCGAUCACUGCCGCCCUUGUCCUUGCCCGGAUGGUCCCGACAGCGGGCGCCAGUUUGCCAGCAGCUGUUAUCAGGACCCUGUUACUUUACAGCUUGCCUGUGUCUGUAAUCCUGGAUACGUUGGCUCCAGAUGCGACGACUGUGCCGCGGGCUUCUUCGGGAACCCCUCGGACAUGGGGGGCACAUGUCAGCCUUGCGAGUGCCACCACAACAUUGACACCGCGGACCCGGAAGCCUGCGACAAGGAGACGGGGCGGUGCCGGAAGUGCCUGUACCACACGGAAGGCGAGCGCUGCCAGCUGUGCCGCCGCGGGUACUACGGGGACGCCCUCCGGCAGGACUGCCGCAAGUGCGUCUGUAAUUACCUGGGCACAGUGCAGGAGCACUGUAACGGCUCUGACUGCCAGUGUGACACAGCCACCGGGCAGUGCUCGUGUCUCCCUCACGUGAUCGGCCAGAACUGUGACCGCUGCGCACCCAACACCUGGCAGCUGGCCAGCGGGACAGGGUGUGACCCGUGCAACUGUGACGCCGCCCAUUCCUUCGGGCCGUCUUGUAACGAGUUCACGGGGCAGUGCCAGUGCAUGCCUGGCUUCGGAGGCCGCACCUGCAGCGAGUGCCAGGAGCUCUUCUGGGGAGACCCCAGCGUGGAGUGCAGAGCCUGUGACUGCGACCCCAGGGGCAUUGAGACGCCACAGUGUGACCAGUCCACUGGCCAGUGUGUCUGCGUCGAGGGUGUGGAGGGUCCACGCUGCGACAGGUGCACUCGAGGGUACUCGGGGGUCUUUCCCGACUGCACACCCUGCCACCAGUGCUUUGCUCUCUGGGACGUGAUCAUCGCUGAGUUGACCAACAGGACCCAGAAGUUCCUGGAGAAAGCCAAGGCUCUGAAGAUCAGCGGCGUGAUCGGGCCUUACCGGGAGACCGUGGACUCGGUAGAGAAGAAGGUCCAUGAGAUCAGAGACAUCCUGGCCCAGAGCCCGGCCGCAGAGCCGCUGAAAAACAUUGGGAAUCUUUUCGAGGAAGCAGAGAAGCUAACCAAAGAUGUUACCGAAAAGAUGGCUCAAGUAGAAGUGAAAUUGUCUGACACAGCUUCGCAAAGCAACAGCACAGCCAGAGAGCUAGACUCUCUACAGGCAGAAGCAGAGAGCCUAGACAACACGGUGAGAGAGCUUGCUGAGCAACUGGAAUUCAUCAAAAACUCGGACAUUCGGGGCGCCUUGGAUAGCAUUACCAAGUAUUUCCAGAUGUCUCUAGAGGCGGAGGAGAGGGUGAAUGCCUCCACCACAGAUCCCAGCAGCACUGUGGAGCAGUCUGCCCUCACUCGAGACAGAGUCGAAGACCUGAUGAUGGAGCGAGAGUCCCAGUUCAGGGAAAGACAGGAGGAACAGUCCCGCCUCCUGGAUGAACUGGCAGGCAAACUUCAAAGUCUAGACCUUUCAGCUGCUGCCGAAAUGACGUGUGGGACGCCUCCAGGGGCCUCCUGUUCCGAGACGGACUGUGGUGGCCCGAACUGCAGAACCGACGACGGACACAAGAAGUGUGGGGGGCCAGGCUGCGGAGGGCUGGUCACUGCUGCGCACAGUGCCUGGCAGAAGGCCAUGGACUUUGACCGAGAUGUCCUGAGCGCCCUGGCGGAGGUGGAGCAGCUCUCCAAGAUGGUCUCUGAAGCAAAACUGAGGGCAGAUGAAGCGAAACAGAAUGCUCAGGACGUGCUACUGAAAACCAACGCUACCAAAGAAAAAGUGGACAAGAGCAAUGAGGACCUGAGGAAUCUAAUCAAGCAAAUCAGGAACUUCCUGACUCAGGACAGUGCUGAUCUGGACAGCAUUGAAGCCGUUGCUAAUGAAGUGCUGCGAAUGGAAAUGCCUAGCACCCCUGAGCAGUUACAGAACUUGACGGAAGAUAUUCGUCAACGGGUUGAAAGCCUGUCUCAAGUAGAGGUCAUUCUACAGCAGAGCGCUGCCGACAUUGCCCGAGCUGAGCUGUUGCUAGAGGAAGCUCAAAGAGCCAGCAAAAGCGCAACAGAUGUUAAAGUCACGGCAGAAAUGGUGAAAGAAGCUCUGGAAGAAGCAGAAAAGGCCCAGGUUGCAGCAGAGAAGGCCCUUAAACAAGCAGAUGAAGACAUCCAAGGAACCCAGAACCUGCUGACUUCAAUUGAAUCUGAAACCGCAGCUUCUGAGGAAACUUUGUUCAAUGCCUCCCAGCGCAUCAGUGAGCUAGAGAGGAACGUGGAAGAACUUAAGCGGAAAGCUGCCCAGAACUCCGGGGAGGCAGAAUAUAUUGAAAAAGUAGUAUACAGUGUGAAACAAAGUGCAGAAGAUGUUAAGAAGACUCUCGACGGUGAACUUGAUGAUAAGUACAAGAAAGUAGAAAAUUUAAUUGCCAAAAAAACUGAAGAGUCGGCUGAUGCACGAAGGAAAGCCGAAAUGCUACAAAAUGAAGCAAAAACGCUUUUGGCUCAAGCAAACAGCAAGCUGCAACUCCUGAAAGAUUUAGAAAGAAAGUAUGAGGACAAUCAAAAAUAUUUAGAAGAUAAAGCUCAAGAAUUAGUAAGAUUGGAAGGAGAAGUCCGUUCACUCCUAAAAGAUAUAAGCCAGAAAGUCGCUGUUUAUAGCACCUGCUUGUAACACAGGCGGCGGGAGCUCUAAACAACUGAAGAUCUCACUUUGAAAUUAAUUUUAAUCUGCUCAAUGAACUGGACAGCUAACAGCCACACCCUUCACAAGCCAAGAAAUUAUUUAGAACUUGUAAAUAACAGACGCUCCAUAUUCCAGUGCGAGAGCGGCUUCAUUUAUCAUUUCACCGGCACCCUUUAAGAUAAUACACCAAGAAGUAAUUUUGUUUCCAUGGCAAAGACGACUACCUUCUGAUAGGAGAGACUGUAACAGUUAAGCUUUUCCUGACUGGAGGCAGUUAACAGAUAAAGCAGCACACAAGUUAAGAGCUUGGGACCUGGAGCCAGGUGGCCUCGAUGCCAGUCCUGCCACUUACCACAUCAACUGCUUGCUGACUCUGCCUCAUUCUGUUUAUUCACCUCCAAAAUGGGAACAGCAACACUUACCUCGCAGGGUUGUGGAAAUUAAAGUUAAUGCACAUAUUUAGGAACAGCUGUUCCAGAGUAAGCACUCAAAUGUUCUAUUAUCACUACUGACACACCAGACACCCAGCAGAGGGCACACUUCACAUGCAGUGGUAGGAAAAGCUUCUCUUAGAAGUAACAUUGGAGCGGAGACCUGAAUAAUCAUCCAGCCAUGCAAAGAUCUGGAGGCAGAGGAUUCUAAGCAAAGGGUACAGUAAGCACAAAGCGCACACACA
Molecule: non-coding RNA, 6064 nt
Organism: Vicugna pacos (alpaca)
Lineage: Eukaryota; Metazoa; Chordata; Mammalia; Artiodactyla; Camelidae
Source: RefSeq, a predicted model, not a curated record